GCUUGGACAAAACGUCUAGAGCCACAGCAUUCCUAGCUGGCUCUCCCCUUGAACACUGAGCAGAAGGCUGGGGCUGAGGGAGACACAGUUAGAGGGGAAGGCAGGCUGGAGGAGAGGAAGAGGCAGGGAGAGGGAGGCGAACCGGGGCCGGGGUACGAGCUCCGAGCCCGGGGCUUUAAAGGGCGACAGGACAUGGGAGAGACUAGGCAAGAAAGUGGGGAAAAUUUGGGAAGGGGGGGGGGGUAAAGAUGGGAUGGUGGGAGGAAGGUAAGAGAGGUGGAGGCUUGAGGAGAGGCCGGAAAAAUGGUAGGCUUAGAGGAAGGAUGCAAAAAGACAGUGGAAGGGGGAGGAGGUGGGGGCCAGGUGAGGCAGGAAGACAGGAAAUUAGGAGGUGAUGUCAGAUGAGUGAAAAAAAUAAGUUUCAGGCUGAAGAAGGUGAUAAAGAUGAGGAUAACUUUGGGAAAAAGUCAGCCACAAAAGAGGCUAAAACUAACAAAAAACCCAGCAAAAACAGUCCAAGUUUAGGAGUAGAGAGAGUGUUUUGCUUUCCCUGCCAUGGAUGUAAUACUGGUUUGGAUGGCAGCCGGUGUCCAAUCAGACGACAGGACUACAGGCCUUGUCAUAAUGACAACCAUGACAUCACAGCAAGGGCUAGCGGAGAGAAGACAGCGGAGCUCCAGACAGACCGCGGGGCUGAGCGGGGACGCACGCCGGCCAGAGCGCACCGGCUGCCGGAUCCAAAACGCGCGGACUACCGGAGUGGGAUGGGUGACGGUGGUGGAUGCGGGGUGAGGGGGUGGGGAGGCGGACAUGCGGAAAGGCAUAUUUCGCAACCGGCGACUGGAGCUCUGCCCCGGACAGACUGAGGCUGCUUCACCGAUGGGAAACGAGUGGAAAAUAUGGAGGAGGUUGAGCGAAAUGGCAUCUUGUUUUACUUCUGCCAAUCAAGACGAGAGGAAGACAAGUCCCAAACUGGCAUGUCUGCAUGCGGAUGGCCCCUUCCAGACAAAGUUUGUUGCCAGUUUCCUCUAAAGGGGAAGAUUUUUCCACCAAAAUGCGCAAGAUUUCCAGUGAUGUAACAGCAGAAUGAAGAUCAAGAUUAAGAAACCAGGACACCACGUGGACCGGAUGGAAAACGGGAACUGGUUUAGGGGGAACCGGAUACUAUCACUGAGGAGGUUCUGCUUGGAUCGCCGCCACCAAGACUCAACUCUGUAAAAUGACGGAAGGAUGAACGAGGAGCGACGGCGGCUGUAAUCUCCACUGUUCAAUUAGCUGCACUGACCGGGACGCCACCUACACUUCAUUAGCAGAGAGGGGAAGGUGAUGCUGAUGGUGUGUCAUCAAACCAGCAGGAGAGCAGGAGAUGGAGAAGAUGCUGACACACUUACACACACUUACACACAGAGAGUCAGAGAACACACCGGUAGUAAAAAUGAAGGCUUGCUGUCGGUGGUGUGAGCCAUUUCCAGGUGAAGCAAACUGAAUUAAAGUGAAUCGAGCUGAACUCAUCUGAACUGGAAUGACCUGAACUGAACUGAAAAGAAGGUUUCAGCCUGACCGGACACACGGCUCUUUGAGGUUUUCAGAAAAAAAGUGAUGUGAACACUGAAGUACUUUGAAUACAGAUGAAACAAAACCACAACACUGCUUUCACUUCAGGAUCCCACUGGUUUUUAUGUUCACUUUAAACAGAAACAUAACACAGUGCUUCAGUGAAGUUCUGGGACUGUAGAUCAUCUAUUUUUAAA
Sphaeramia orbicularis (orbiculate cardinalfish) is the source of this 1751-nucleotide long non-coding RNA. RefSeq lists it as uncharacterized. The transcript has 7 exons. The record is from RefSeq and is a predicted model, not a curated record. NCBI's taxonomy places the organism in Eukaryota, Metazoa, Chordata, Actinopteri, Kurtiformes, Apogonidae.